CCUACGGGGGACAGCAGUGGGGAAUAUUGCGCAAUGGGCGAAAGUCUGACGCAGCGACGCCACGUGAGGGAUGAAGGUCUUCGGAUCUGAAACCUCUGUCUGCAGGGAAGAACGGUCACUGUGCUAAUCAGCAGUGAAUUGACGGUACCUGCAAAGUAAGAACCGGCUAACUCCGUGCCAGCAGCCGCGGUAAUACGGAGGGUGCGAGCGUUAAUCGGAAUUACUGGGCGGAAAGCGCUCGUAGGCGGUAUGUCAAGUCAAGGGUGAAAUCCCCGCGCUCAACGUGGGAACUGCCUUUGAAACUGGCAAACUGGAGUGUGUGAGAGGAUGGUGGAAUUCGAGGUGUAGGAGUGAAAUGCGUAGAUAUCUGGAGGAACAUCAGUGGCGAAGGCGACUAUCUGGCACAUAACUGACGCUGAGGAGCGAAAGCGUGGGUAGCAAACAGGAUUAGAUACCCCUGUAGUC
RNAcentral lists this ribosomal RNA (465 nucleotides) under uncultured bacterium. RNAcentral's name for it is "partial 16S ribosomal RNA". It matches the Rfam family "Bacterial small subunit ribosomal RNA", at positions 338 to 795 of the family's 1533-position model. The record is from RNAcentral.